ACCAUCGGUUUACAAAAUAAGAACGACAUUUCUUGAAGCUUCUGCAAUUCAAAAAAAUAAAUCAAAAAAUUCAACAGAGUUAAUGGAGAAUGGGAAGGCUUCUGAUCUUCCACAAGCCGCUGAUAAUGCUGAUCGAAUGAGAGACAAGGAGAUUUCAUUUAUUUAUUGUAGGAGUAUUCGGCCGCAGAAGUGCGAUAAUUUGAGUCUUUUUUGAAUCGCAUUAGUGUUGAGAAUGAUAAUCUUAUCACAGGACAAGUUACUAUAGAAAGAUGGGAUAGUGAUGUUGAGAAAGAUUUUUGUGAUCCAGAUUAUAAUAUAUUUGAUGAAGAUGAUGACUUUCAGGAGAUUAUAGCGAAAGAAAACGCUAGCAAAAGGAAAGGAAUGCCUAGAAAUGUGGCUUCGACAUCAGGCCAGUUAUCUAAGACUUUGAUUAUAGUACCAUAACAGACUACUGAUGUUGAUUCUGAUUAUGGGGAUUCAGAUGAAUUGCUUGACUAGGUUGAUUCUGAAAAAGAAAAUGAUGAGGUUACAUAUGAAGAGUACAAUUAAACUAAACAUAGAGAUAGGCCAACGUUGGCAUUAGGGAUAAAGUUUGGAGGUUUUGAGGAAUUUAAACAAGCUUGUAGAGACUGGGGUAUUAAACAUAAAAGACAACUUUACCUUCCUACCAGUGAUAAAUUAAGAGUAAUAAGCUCCUGCAAGGAAAAUGGUUGUCCAUUUAGGAUUCAUGCUAGCAAGUUGACUCAAGAUGAUCCUACUGUUCAGAUUAAGUCCAUUAAUUUGACUCAUAUAGGCGGCAACAUGUUUGAUAAUUUUCACAUGUCACCGCAGUAUAUUGCUAAAAGAUAACUUGAUAAUUUUAGAGCCGACCCUGAUUGGAGUGUAAAAGGACUAAUUGCAGUUGUCCUGAAGGAUUGUAGCUACACAAUUUUAUAUAAGAAGGCAUGGAGGGCCAAAAAAAUAGCUUUGAAAUGGGUACAUGGAGAAGAAGGCCUUCAAUAUGGUCAACUUUUAUCAUAUAGAGCUGAGUUGUUGAAUUCUAACCCUGGAUCAACAGUUGUGAUUUGGAGAGAUGGUGAAAAAUUUCAAGGUGUUUAUGUAUGUUUAGGAGCACUGAAAGAAUCAUUUAAGUCGGGAUGUAGACCUAUUAUUAGCCUUGAUGGAUGUUGGCUAAAAAGAACUUUUGGAGGAAAUUUGUUGUCUGCGGUUGCUAUAAAUCCCAAUGACUGUAUUUUUCCUAUUGCAUACACUGUAAUAGCUCAAAAUGAAAGUGAAGAAACUUGGAGUUAGUUCCUGGAAAAUCUUGGACAUGACUUAGAAAUAAGGAACAACCAUCAUAUUGCAUUCAUGUCUGACUGACAAAAGGGCUUAAUAGGAGCAGUGAAGGAAUUAUUUCCAUCGACUGAACAUAGAAAUUGUGUUAGACAUAUGUAUCAGAAUUUUAGAGGAAAAAACAAAGGUAAAACUUUAAAAGAUUUGGUAUGGAAAGCAGCAACGGCCAGUAAUACAGUAAUGUUCAAGAGAUGUAUGGAAGAAAUUAAGCAAGAAGAUAAAGAAGCAAGAGAAUGGUUCAAUCAUUCAGAGAGACCAUUUGAAAGUUAGACUAGAGCACUUUUUAGCACAAAUACUAGAUGUGAUAUGCUGCUCAACAAUUUAUGUGAAAGCUUCAACAGGUACAUUCUUGAUUCCAGAGAUAAACCUAUCAUUACGAUGCUUAAAAUGAUAAAAAAUAAGUUAAUGAAUAGGUUGUACAAAAAGAAAAUUUGGAUUGACAAGUAUCAAAGCAUGAUUUGUCCAAAGAUUGUCAAGAAAUUGAACAAAAUCAACGAUGAGACUUCUAUGUUUAGAUUUGAAUAUUCAGGAGGGCCAAAGUUUAGAGUUAUUGGGCCUGGUGGACCAUAUGUGGUGGAUUUGGUGGAUAAGAGUUUUACUUGUAGGAGAUUUGAUUUAAUUGGAUUGCCAUGUACUCAUGCCUAUGUUUCUAUUAUUGGAAACAAUGAAAAAAUAGAAAAGUAUGUGAAUGUAUUCUAUCAUGUUGAUACUUUUAAGAGUGUUUAUUCACAUUACAUCAACCCAACAAAUCAUGAAGAUCAUUGGCCAAAAGUUGUGGACUGUGCAGAAAUUCUUCCUCCUAAAGUUGUAAAAAAAGGGGGGGGGGGGAUCCCAAGAAUAGGAACAAAGAAGCCGAAGAAUUAGAAAAGGAAAAAAACAACUGCAGCUGCUAAAAAUGCUGAAAAGAGAGCUGGAAAAAGGACUGAAAAUACAGAGGCUCAAAAGUUAUCCAGGAAGGGCUUUGUAAAAGGAAGAUGUUCAAUUUACAAAAAUGACGGUCAUAAUGCUAGAGGUCAUUAUAAAUGGGACAAAAAAAUCUAGUGAGGCAUCUUUAAGUCAACCUGAAGAGGGUACAAAUUCAACUAAACAGAAUGAAAAUGAUGACUUUUGGGAUAACUCUCAGUUAUGGAUUAACUCUCAGAUGAAUUUGAACUUAACUCAGAAAGGUGCACAAAUUAUGAAAUCACUUACUGUUGAAGUACCCGAUGAAACAUUACAUGUUGCUGACGAAUUUUUAUAGAUAUUGAAUGGACUAGGUGGACGUGGUGCUGAUUAUGAGACCUCUUUGCAUGUUACUGAAUUACCUGCUAGACCUUCUGUAUUGAAGAGCGGCGAACAUCUUAAAAGAAAAUCCAUACCCAAUGACGUAAUUACUGCUCAAAAUAAGAGUGCUGCUUAGAAGGAUCCAACUGGUUGAAUCCUUCGUUGGAUACCCACAAUUAGAUCAUUUUAAUGUGAGAGACAUGAGGCAAACUGUCGGUGUUGUUAAAAAUGUUGAUAAGAAGGAUCCAACUGGUGCCAAGUCACCAAGGCUGUCUAGGAGAAGGGAAAGUGUUACAGUGUAAUGAUGGUGUUUUCACCGCUUUCUAUUGUCAUAAAGUGUGUUAUGUAGACUCUAUUUUGUUUAGUUUUGCUAUAUUUUGGUCUUUGAUUUGAUUUCUAUGUUCUAGUUCUCUACCUUGUAUGUCAGUUAACAAUUCUCAGCUGCUUGUGGGAUUUUGUUUAGUCAAUACAUUUCAAAAUUUUCUCA
Molecule: long non-coding RNA, 3082 nt
Organism: Capsicum annuum
Lineage: Eukaryota; Viridiplantae; Streptophyta; Magnoliopsida; Solanales; Solanaceae
Exons: 5
Source: RefSeq, a predicted model, not a curated record